RNAcentral lists this ribosomal RNA (216 nucleotides) under Glomeromycotina sp. RNAcentral's name for it is "partial small subunit ribosomal RNA". The stretch from base 40 to 216 matches the Rfam family "Eukaryotic small subunit ribosomal RNA", at positions 686 to 864 of the family's 1831-position model. Lineage: Eukaryota; Fungi; Glomeromycota. The record is from RNAcentral.
GGGUCAGUAGGUUGGUCGUGCCACCGGUACGUACUGGUCUCACUGAUUCCUCCUUCCUGAAGAACCGUAAUGCCAUUAAUUUGGUGUUGCGGGGAAACAGGACCGUUACUUUGAAAAAAUUAGAGUGUUUAAAGCAAGCUAACGCUUAAAUACAUUAGCAUGGAAUAAUGAAAUAGGACGAUCGAUCCUAUUUUGUUGGUUUCUAGGAUUGACGUA